UACGGAGGGUGCAAGCGUUAAUCGGCAUUACUGGGCGUAAAGCGCACGCAGGCGGUCAGUCAAGUCGGAUGUGAAAUCCCCGGGCUCAACCUGGGAACUGCAUCGGAAACUGGCAGGCUAGAGUCUUGGAGAGGGGGGUAGAAUUCCAGGUCUAGCGGUGGAAUGCGUAGAGAUCUGGAGGAAUACCGGUGGCGAAGGCGGCCCCCUGGACGAAGACUGAAGCUCAGGUGCGAAAGCGUGGGGAGCAAACAGG
Molecule: unclassified non-coding RNA, 253 nt
Filed under: uncultured Enterobacteriaceae bacterium
Lineage: Bacteria; Pseudomonadati; Pseudomonadota; Gammaproteobacteria; Enterobacterales; Enterobacteriaceae
Description: contains 16S-23S intergenic spacer region
Rfam family: Bacterial small subunit ribosomal RNA
Source: RNAcentral